CGUCAUUACAGUGCUGGCGGGUUGAUGGUACUGCCCAUGGAGCCGCCCACUGCCCUGCCCAAAAGAUUAUCUAAACAGCGCCAUUUUCCCCGGCCGCUCUCUCGCAUUACUCCGGUUAGAACCAUGGCGAAAGUACGAUCUGAAAAAGAGGCAGCGUUUGCUCUGUUGUUGGCUGCACAAACGAGCACAAAACUCCCUCGUCGGAGGAUUUGAGGACUCAAUGGGUGGAUUUUAUUUAUAAUGGGAAUGUACCCGCGGCACUUCCAAAAUAUCUGUACGUAUGUGUGUACCAUUUCACUUCGGACUGUUUUAUCAACGAGGGACAGUUCAACGCUGGAUUUGCUAGAUGUCUGAAGAUAAAGAAUGGAUCCGUACCAACUAUCCGUGAUCCUGCUACAAACGUGGCACCUGUAAGUACAGAACGUUUUAUUUUGACUUACUGUUUAGCGUAAAUUCCCCCGGUGCCUCUGCACGGCCACCACGCUUCGAUAAACACACCGAAUCCGCGCCGGUUUACCGGAUCCUUCCGUAUUUUAGCCGCUCGCUUCGGUGGCCCCUCCAGAGCAGCAUGUAGCUUUAGCAUUUACCCGUGCGGCGACGCGCCUCUUUUGGCUCAAAUACGGGACGUCCCGGCUACGCGUGACCCACCUGGCAGCUUUGAAUAAUACACAGGAUAUGUCGACUUGGUCGCUUGAAGUCGCGUUUCGUCUGAACGCGGCUGAGAGUUUUUUCUCUGGGUCAGACUCUGGCUCAAACUGGUAGGGUUGUACGAGCGAUCUUCUUGCAGCUAUGACCGAGCCAGUGUAAACAUUAGCACAUGGCUAUCGGAGCACAGCCACAGCCCCUUCCAGAGAGAUGGGUGUAAAGUGGACGUGGCUUAGGUGCAGCUCAUAUCAUCAAAGAGACAUCGCCCAAAACGGAGGAUUCUGAGCGGAGCUGUUUUUAGCUGAAAAAAAGAGCACUAAAAUAAUUGAUCCAAAUCGAAUUUUGACCGAAGGACGUCACAGACAUGCUUUUAACACACCAGGGGACUAUUUUAAAUUGUGUGAAAUUGGCAUGCCAUGGGACUUUUAACUAAUAGGAAUCAAUGUAGCUCUUUCCUUUAUAAAUUAAAGAACACCAUGAAGUCAAAGCACGUCAUAACACAAAUAUUGUACCAUAUGUGUUGUUUCACAGAUACUGACUUUUGCAUCCAGGACAGGAAUCUUCUCACCUAUCCUAAAGAUGAGUUGAUCCUAUCUAUAUCACUUUUAUGGAGGUUUUCCUUGAUAACUAUACAGAUGAUCAACAAAAUGCAGAAUAGGAACUCAUGAGUACUUGUGGAUGAUAUUCCAAAGCUCGAUUCCAUCAUCUCUGUAGUAGUAGUUGGGUAUUGCCUCCAGCCCACGCUCAGCAAUGUCGUCUGGUAUGCAGAGGGAGCUGUAUGUUAUAGAGGACGUUGCCCUCUGAAGGAUUGUGAGCAAACCCUCUCCACCAGAUGCAGAAUACUAGAAAAUAAUCAAUAUGAGAACUUGUUGGAGACACUUCUAGGAAAAAAACAAUGUUUGAAGGAUGCACCACUAAGCUUGCUUGUUUCUUACGUUUGUGAAAGCUCCUUUCUCAGAAAUCAGCACAAUUCGAGCCAUGACGUUGAUCUGCAGAGUGUAGCGAGUGUGAGGGCUGAGGAGCUGGGGGAAAAAUGAACUCUGUUAUGGUAAUAUUAAAACUUCUUUAAAUCACGUUUAAAAUUUGAUGCACAUAUACUAUUCAGCAAUGUAAAAUUCUUAUCUAGAUACAUACUGACUAGGCCUGUCACGAUAACAAAUUUUGCUGGACGAUAAUUGUGCUACAAAUUAUUGCCGAUAAACGAUAUAAUUGACACCGUUUUUUAAAUUAUCGAAAAUGAUAAUAUAUGGCAUAAUAAUGCGAGUACACCAUGCCAAAAGUGAUAAACUUCAAUUUCCGCUGUCUGUCAGCGCGCACCAUUUUGCGGUGUUUUGUUUAUAUUUGCUUUGCUUGCCAAACGCUUCAGUAAACGGUACCUGUCGGGACGAUGGCUCCGCAGCACCUCCGGCAGUACUUUUUUUGCUCAGUUGGGAAAAAUGGAGGGGAUGAUUGUGCUUGAGGUGCGCAUGCAUGUUCGUCGUAUUCCCCUUCUUUGUCACCACAAUUUUGGAACAAAUACGACAUAUCGGCUCGUCCGUAUUUGUGGGCUCACCUCUUUCAUUUGGUUUAAAGCCGAAAUAUUCGCACACUUGGGCUGUUGCGUUCGGUUUAGACACCAAAGCUGUCGUGUUCAUUCUGUUUGCUUGCUUUUCACUCACGACGCUCACUUGUCACCCCCCGUGACAAAGAUACUGAAUGACUGACAGGAGGGUUCACUAACUCCGUUCAUUCCGCUAUAGAGCCAACGCCCCCAGGUGCCGAGAACAAUGCGCAGAGUGAGACCUCUUCUCUCAUCCAGCGUGUUUGGUAGCGAGAGAAGAGGGAAAACAAAUGCACGUUAAUUAUCGAGGCUGGCAAAUGACCAACCUCGUUUUUAUUUACCGAGCGAUAAGGCGAUUUAUUGAUUAUCGCGACAGGCCUAAUACUGACAUAUCGGUUUUCUGCAAACCAAAGUUCCCCUGAAGGGUUUCUUGCUGGUUGGGAAAAAAAUUAAAAUGUGCUAACCUAGACUUGCAACCUCGACAUGUCAGACUAGACUAGAUGACUAAAAGGUCAUGCCUUGAGUGGCCAACCAUGAGUUUGCUUCCAUAGCCUUUCCUGUAUGUCACCCCCUGCUCUCCUUUCUUGGUUUCUCCACUGUCCUCUUCAAAAAAGGCAAAAAGUCUGAAAAUAAAUCUUAAAAAUCUACAAGGUUUCUUACGGCAGAGUAAAAACUUUGCAAUACAGUUACCUUGUACAGGGGAUGCACCAUGGGCAUGUUGCGCAGCAGAGACACAGCAAAAACUUCAGCCAGCAGAUGAGUGCGCAGCAGAUGAACAUUGAGUUGAUGCUGACUGAAACUUGCGCUUCUCACAAAAAUCUUGGCCAACAACCAGUCGUACUCUGAAUCAGUAGGAAAAAAGAUGGGGUUGUCCUCUCCUGGAGUCUGCUUCAGCUGCAGGAGAAAGAAAGGGAAAUGUGGUUUGUUCUUGUGGGACAUGCAAUAACUUGACUUCACAUUUGUUUUCAGUGUACCCAAAAAUGGCGCAUAAGCAGAUGAUUAUGAACGUUUAAAUUUUGAUUGUAGCCAGCAUCGUGUCAGCUGUUCACCUGCCUGUUGAAGCCUUGUGGGAUACUGUUGAAAACAUUUACUUGGAAAAAAAAAAAAUACAGCAUGCUAAAACAAGAGUCUGUGGGUGGACAAACCUGACUAGUUUGGCGGUUGGUUAUUCACAGUCUUACUCUUGGCUCACAAACCACUGGUGCAGACAAAACUAAAGAUAACCAACCCCUGGAAGUUUCAGCUUUGACAGAAAUAAAAAUUUAACUGCCUCAGAAAGACAAUAGCUGCUAUCUUCUGAAUUAAUAUCUAACCCCCAAAGUGAUUACUACCAAAAUCAAGCCCUAAAUUUUAUCAUUAGUUAUAUCUCAGUUUCUCUCACCUGGAUUGCAAUCGGCAUCAACUUGUCAUCAGGUGUUUUCUGGAGCAGGACAAGGGGAGCCGUCAGGUACUGCUGCUUCUUAUUGACAGUGUUUGCUUUGACUCCAUCCAAGAGCUUGUAGUCACACAGGUAUAUGUUGCCAUUCUGUUUGAAGUUUGAGUGCGAAUUAGCAUUGAUUUAUAUACAAUACAAAUGCAACAAAAAUCAGUUUGAAAUGUUAACACAAGGAGUGUACAUUUGAGGAAAUUAAUUUGUUUUCGAGACAAUUCAAAGUGAGGAAAUCACCUUCAAUUCCUCUUCCAGGGUGUGAUCACCAUGAAUGGAAACCAUGCUGUCAGUGACAGGAAAGUUCUCGGGAAGGACUGAACAACGUCGGAUCAACAUGGGGUCGACACCAUUUAGAAACUGGUAGCCGAAAAACUCAUCCUCCUUCCAGUGUUGCUGGACAUAGGCUUGGA
This 4024-nucleotide long non-coding RNA is filed under the name Xyrichtys novacula (pearly razorfish). The record is from RNAcentral. Lineage: Eukaryota; Metazoa; Chordata; Actinopteri; Labriformes; Labridae.